UAGUGCAGGGAGAAGUCGGUC
Molecule: microRNA, 21 nt
Filed under: Brachypodium distachyon (stiff brome)
Lineage: Eukaryota; Viridiplantae; Streptophyta; Magnoliopsida; Poales; Poaceae
Description: bdi-miR9484
Source: miRBase by way of RNAcentral